AAGAUGGUAAGGGCAGGCGGCGGAUGCCUUGGCACAGGAAGCCGACGAAGGACGCGGCAAGCUGCGAUAAUCCGCGGUGAGGGGCACACGCCCUUUGACCCGCGGGUCUCCGAAUGGGAAAACCCGGCGCGCCGUCGAGGCGCGUCGCCCUCCCCCCGAACACAUAGGGGGGAGGGGGGCAACCCGGGGAACUGAAACAUCUAAGUACCCGGAGGAAGAGAAAUCAAUCGAGAUUCCCCCAGUAGUGGCGAGCGAACGGGGAAGAGGCCAAACCGGCCCGAGCGAAAGCCGGGCCGGGGUCGUGGGGCCGUCUACAGUGCGGUUACAAAGCGACGCGCGAGCGGAACCGGAUGGGAAGCCGGGCCGAAGGGGGUUAGAGCCCCGUACGCGAAGCGCGACGCCCGCCUGACGGUGCCCGAGUACCGCCGGACACGUGAAACCCGGUGGGAAGCAGGGGGGUCCACCCUCCAAGCCUAAAUACUCUCCUGUGACCGAUAGCGCACUAGUACCGCGAGGGAAAGGUGAAAAGCACCCCGGGAGGGGAGUGAAACAGCACCUGAAACCGCCUGCCCACAAGCAGUCGGAGCAUCGCCUUCGGGCGGUGUGACGGCGUGCCUUUUGUAGAAUGAGCCAGCGAGUUGCGGCGCGUGGCGAGGCCAAGCCACGAAGCGAGCCGUAGCGACAGCGAGUCCGAACAGGGCGCUAAGUCGCGCGCCGCAGACGCGAAGCCGGGUGAGCUAUCCAUGGGCAGGCUGAAGCGGGGGUAAGACCCCGUGGAGGGCCGAACCCACCUAGGUUGAAAACUGGGGGGAUGACCCGUGGAUAGGAGUGAAAGGCCUAUCAAACCCGGAGAUAUCUCGUUCUCCCCGAAAUAGCUUUAGGGCUAGCCUCGGGCGUUUACCAUGGGGGGUAGAGCACUGGACUGCCGCGGGGGCCUCACCGCCUACCAACGCAGACCAAACUCCGAAUACCCAUGGUCCACAGCCCGGGAGUCAGAACAUGUGGGCUAAGCUGUGUGUUCGAAAGGGAAACAGCCCAGACCGCCCGCUAAGGCCCCCAAGUCGAUGUUGAGUGGCAAAGGAUGUGCGUCCGCCCAGACAACCAGGAUGUUGGCUUAGAAGCAGCCACCCAUUCAAAGAGUGCGUAAUAGCUCACUGGUCGAGUGGACAUGCGCCGACAAUACACGGGGCUAAGCAUCGCGCCGAAGCGGCGGACCGGAACCAUGCGUUCCGGUGGUAGGGGAGCUUCCCGUGCGCGGGGAAGCCGGGGGACGACCCCCGGUGGAGCGCCCGGGAGUGAGAAUGCUGGCAUGAGUAACGAGAGCGGGGUGGAAAACCCCGCCGCCGUAAACCCAAGGUUUCCUGGGCGAGGCUAAUCCUCCCAGGGUCAGUCGGGGGCUAAGGCGAGGCCGGAAGGCGUAGCCGAUGCACAGCGGGCCGACAUUCCCGCACCCCCGGAAGGGCGCUAUAACCGAUGGGGCGACGCAGGAGGGUAGCUGGACGGGGUUCUGGACGUCCCCGCGAUGGCGCGUAGGGCGGCUCCCAGUGAAACGCGGGAGCCACGUGAGCCUGAGGCGCCGGACGAAGCCUUGUGGCGAAGCCAGUGAGCCCAUGCUGCCGAGAAAAACCCCUAGGGAGCCCGACGGGGCCCGUACCGCAAACCGACACAGGUGGGUGGGUAGAGAAUACCAAGGCGAUCGGGAGAACUAUGGUCAAGGAACUCGGCAAAAUCGCCCCGUAACCUCGGGAGAAGGGGCGCCGGCCUGGGUGGGGGGACACGCUCCCCGAGCCCGGUCCGGCCGCAGCGAAAAGGUCCAAGCGACUGUUUACCAAAAACACAGGACUCUGCUGAAGUCGUAAGACGACGUAUAGGGUCUGACGCCUGCCCGGUGCCGGAAGGUCACGAGGAGCCGUCAGCGCAAGCGAAGCGGCGAAUCCAAGCCCCGGUAAACGGCGGCCGUAACUAUAACGGUCCUAAGGUAGCGAAAUUCCUUGUCGGGUAAGUUCCGACCUGCACGAAAGGCGUAACGAUUUGGACGCUGUCUCGACCAUAGGCCCGGUGAAAUUGCACUAGUCGUGAAGAUGCGACUUACCCGCGGAAGGACGGAAAGACCCCGUGAACCUUUACUGCAGCUUGGCAUUGGCUGCCGGGGCGCCGUGUAGAGGAUAGGUGGGAGACUUCGAACCCGGGACGCCAGUCCCGGGGGAGUCGCCCUUGGAAUACCACCCUCGGCGCCUUGGCAUCCUAACCUGCGGCCGUUAUCCGGCGCAGGGACCGUGCCAGGUGGGUAGUUUGACUGGGGCGGUCGCCUCCUAAAAGGUAACGGAGGCGCACGUAAGGUCUGCUCGGGACGGUCGGCAACCGUCCUUGAGAGUGCAAGAGCGCAAGCAGGCUUGACUGCGAGACGGACAGGUCGAGCAGGUGGGAAACCAGGUUCUAGUGAUCCGGCGGCUCAGAGUGGUAUGGCCGUCGCUCAACGGAUAAAAGGUACUCCGGGGAUAACAGGCUGAUCUUCCCCAAGAGUCCACAUCGACGGGAAGGUUUGGCACCUCGAUGUCGGCUCAUCGCAUCCUGGGGCUGGAGCAGGUCCCAAGGGUAUGGCUGUUCGCCAUUCAAAGCGGUACGCGAGCUGGGUUCAGAACGUCGUGAGACAGUUCGGUCCCUAUCCUCCGUGGGCGCAGGAGAACUGAUGGAGGCUGCCCCUAGUACGAGAGGACCGGGGUGGACGGACCUCCGGUGCACGGGUUGUCGACCAACGGCACCGCCCGGUAGCUGAGUCCGGUUCGGAUAACCGCUGAAAGCAUCUAAGCGGGAAGCCGGUCCAGAGAUGAGUUCUCCCUUCGGUAAGGCCCCUCGUAGACCACGAGGUUGAUAGGCCGCAGGUGGAAGCCCCGCGAGGGGCGGAGCCGAGCGGUACUAAUCGGCCGAG
RNAcentral lists this ribosomal RNA (2929 nucleotides) under uncultured Olsenella sp. RNAcentral describes it as "Bacterial large subunit ribosomal RNA". It matches the Rfam family "Bacterial large subunit ribosomal RNA". The record is from RNAcentral. Lineage: Bacteria; Bacillati; Actinomycetota; Coriobacteriia; Coriobacteriales; Atopobiaceae.